Lutra lutra (Eurasian river otter) is the source of this 124-nucleotide long non-coding RNA. RefSeq lists it as uncharacterized. The transcript is spliced from 3 exons. The record is from RefSeq and is a predicted model, not a curated record. Lineage: Eukaryota; Metazoa; Chordata; Mammalia; Carnivora; Mustelidae.
AUGUCCUUGAGGCAGCCCCAGUGUGGGAACGGUACCCUGAAGAUGCUUUCCAAGGACAGGACAGGAGAGGAGGAAAAUUCUAAUGAAUAAAUUAUGACUUCGCUCAACAUUGAGAAAUAUUAUG